This 247-nucleotide ribosomal RNA is filed under the name uncultured Bdellovibrio sp. RNAcentral's name for it is "partial 16S ribosomal RNA". It matches the Rfam family "Bacterial small subunit ribosomal RNA", at positions 210 to 456 of the family's 1533-position model. The record is from RNAcentral. Lineage: Bacteria; Pseudomonadati; Bdellovibrionota; Bdellovibrionia; Bdellovibrionales; Pseudobdellovibrionaceae.
GUUUUUCGUUCCAAGAUGAGUCCGCGUAAGAUUAGCUAGUUGGUGAGGUAAUGGCUCACCAAGGCAACGAUCUUUAACUGGUCUGAGAGGAUGAUCAGUCACACUGGAACUGAGACACGGUCCAGACUCCUACGGGAGGCAGCAGUAGGGAAUAUUGCACAAUGGAGGAAACUCUGAUGCAGCGACGCCGCGUGAGUGAUGAAGGCCUUCGGGUCGUAAAGCUCUGUCGUAUGGGACUAACAAAAUG